This 481-nucleotide ribosomal RNA is filed under the name uncultured bacterium. RNAcentral describes it as "partial 16S ribosomal RNA". It matches the Rfam family "Bacterial small subunit ribosomal RNA", at positions 30 to 507 of the family's 1533-position model. The record is from RNAcentral.
AUUGAACGCUGGCGGCAUGCCUUACACAUGCAAGUCGAACGGUAACGGGCCUUCGGGUGCCGACGAGUGGCGAACGGGUGAGUAAUACAUCGGAACGUGCCCGAUCGUGGGGGAUAACGAGGCGAAAGCUUUGCUAAUACCGCAUACGAUCUACGGAUGAAAGCAGGGACCGCAAGGCCUUGCGCGGACCGAGCGGCCGAUGGCGGAUUAGGUAGUUGGUGGGAUAAAAGCUUACCAAGCCGACGAUCUGUAGCUGGUCUGAGAGGAUGAUCAGCCACACUGGGACUGAGACACGGCCCAGACUCCUACGGGAGGCAGCAGUGGGGAAUUUUGGACAAUGGGCGCAAGCCUGAUCCAGCCAUGCCGCGUGCAGGAUGAAGGCCUUCGGGUUGUAAACUGCUUUUGUACGGAACGAAAAGCCUUCUUUCAAUACAGGAGGGUCAUGACGGUACCGUAAGAAUAAGCACCGGCUAACUACGUG